UACGUAGGGUGCAAGCGUUAAUCGGAAUUACUGGGCGUAAAGCGUGCGCAGGCGGUUUUGUAAGUCUGUUGUGAAAUCCCCGGGCUCAACCUGGGACCUGCAUUUGUGACUGCAUCGCUAGAGUACGGCAGAGGGGGGAUGGAAUUCCGCGUGUAGCAGGUGAAAUGCCGUAGAUAUGCGGAGGAACACCGAUGGCGAAGGCAAUCCCCUGGGCCUGUACUGACGCUCCAUGCACGAAAGCGUGGGGAGCAAACAGG
RNAcentral lists this ribosomal RNA (257 nucleotides) under uncultured bacterium. RNAcentral's name for it is "partial 16S ribosomal RNA". It matches the Rfam family "Bacterial small subunit ribosomal RNA", at positions 524 to 776 of the family's 1533-position model. The record is from RNAcentral.